This 28-nucleotide non-coding RNA is filed under the name Rattus norvegicus (Norway rat). The record is from RNAcentral. Lineage: Eukaryota; Metazoa; Chordata; Mammalia; Rodentia; Muridae.
UCCAGCUUUUUUACUGCAAUGCAAUUAU